UCCCUGGUGGUCUUGUAGUUAGGAUUCAGUGCUUUCACUUCUGUUGCCCAGGUUCAAUCCCUGGUUGGGGAA
This 72-nucleotide transfer RNA is filed under the name Bos taurus (domestic cattle). It matches the Rfam family "tRNA". From Rfam's summary of the family: Transfer RNA (tRNA) molecules are approximately 80 nucleotides in length. RNAcentral also lists the same sequence under 5 other names. Lineage: Eukaryota; Metazoa; Chordata; Mammalia; Artiodactyla; Bovidae. The record is from Rfam by way of RNAcentral.